ACAGUCAUGUGUAACAUUAAUUAUAUUGACAGACUUUCUCUUAGUAAAAAAAAAAACAGUAAAUCAAUAAUAAAAUAAAAAAUAAGGAGAAGAUAAGAAAAAAGAGUAGCUAAGAUAUUUGGGUUACUAUUUCAAAAAUACAAAAUACUAAAAAAGCUUUUACAAUACAUUAAAAUUAAAUAGCAGUAAAAUAAAAUUUGUAUUAUUUGAAAAAUAAUUUUAACAGUUGAUGAAGAGGAAACAUAUUCAUAAAUAUAUUAGUCGACUAGUCCAAUGUUGAAGGAGUUUGAUCAAAACUCUAGGGGUUACACUAGUUUUCUUAUUCCCUCUUUAUAAAGAAUUAAAAGUGGACGGAUUGGAGUAAACAAUCUUUAGAAUAAUGGGCGUGGGACAAAGAUGUAGAUUCUCUUAUGCUUCUUAAUAUUAUAAAAU
This 432-nucleotide long non-coding RNA is filed under the name Ricinus communis (castor bean). Its description in RNAcentral is "long non-coding RNA (RCOM_LNC003489)". Lineage: Eukaryota; Viridiplantae; Streptophyta; Magnoliopsida; Malpighiales; Euphorbiaceae. The record is from RNAcentral.